GACGAACGCUGGCGGCGUGCUUAACACAUGCAAGUCGAACGGAAAGGCCCUGCUUUUGUGGGGUGCUCGAGUGGCGAACGGGUGAGUAACACGUGAGUAACCUGCCCUUGACUUUGGGAUAACUUCAGGAAACUGGGGCUAAUACCGGAUAGGAGCUCCUGCUGCAUGGUGGGGGUUGGACAGUUUCGGCGGUUGGGGAUGGACUCGCGGCUUAUCAGCUUGUUGGUGGGGUAGUGGCUUACCAAGGCUUUGACGGGUAGCCGGCCUGAGAGGGUGACCGGCCACAUUGGGACUGAGAUACGGCCCAGACUCCUACGGGAGGCAGCAGUGGGGAAUAUUGCACACUGGGCGGAAGCCUGAUGCAGCAACGCCGCGUGCGGGAUGACGGCCUUCGGGUUGUAAACCGCUUUCGCCUGUGACGAAGCGUGAGUGACGGUAAUGGGUAAAGAAGCACCGGCUAACUACGUG
This 468-nucleotide ribosomal RNA is filed under the name uncultured bacterium. RNAcentral's name for it is "partial 16S ribosomal RNA". It matches the Rfam family "Bacterial small subunit ribosomal RNA", at positions 28 to 507 of the family's 1533-position model. The record is from RNAcentral.